UUCACUGCAUGUCUUAAUAAAACCAAUGGCAAAUGUAUCUGUUAUAUGAACAUGUUAUUCAACUGAACUGGAUUUAUUAAACAAAGUUUUGGGAGAGAAAUUUUCAGACAUCCCCCGAUGUGAUUACCUUAACUUUCUCCAAUUUCCCCGAACAGAAGAAAUGGCCACGUGCCUCGUCUCCCUUCUCCCCAUUAAUUCUGUGGUUUUUAUUAAUAAGGUAUUUACAUGAUUUGUGUCUCUGUGAGAAUGCAUGAAUAUACAGAUUAACAUUGGGAUGUUAGUGUGCAUAUAAA
Long non-coding RNA from Anguilla rostrata (American eel), 293 nucleotides. RefSeq lists it as uncharacterized. The transcript is spliced from 2 exons. The record is from RefSeq and is a predicted model, not a curated record. NCBI's taxonomy places the organism in Eukaryota, Metazoa, Chordata, Actinopteri, Anguilliformes, Anguillidae.